RNA transcript from Oncorhynchus kisutch (coho salmon), 3611 nucleotides. It is a transcript of the gene named A-kinase anchor protein 1, mitochondrial, with no coding region annotated. The transcript has 11 exons. The record is from RefSeq and is a predicted model, not a curated record. Lineage: Eukaryota; Metazoa; Chordata; Actinopteri; Salmoniformes; Salmonidae.
CCUCCCUGGGCAAUACUAUCGCGAGGGUUGAUUGGCUCCAGUAUUUGGAGCAAAGCUGCCCGACUUCUAAAAGUGACUGUGUGCUGAAAGAAACAGGUGGAGAUAUCCAAGAGGUAGCUGGAGCAAUUUACUGGUGUGCUGUUAUAUAGCUAAGCGGGAUAUUAAACACGUGGUGUUGCUGUUAGCAGCAGGAGAUUAGGGGAUGGUGCUGAGGCUUCAAUCCGUUCUGGUCCUCUCCCUGUCGGGAGUGUUGGCUUUCCUAGGCCUGUGGUGGUACACCUCUCGGAAGAAAGAACAACCCACUGACAAGGAUAAGACGACCACAAACCAGGCGCACCUGUCCUCCUCCAUUAGAGACCGAGGUAUUGGUGUUGUGGAGAACGGCCACUCCACUGGGACAGAUCGGGACAGGCACGCAGUGAGGAAGAGGUCGUUAGUGGAACAGGAGCGUGUUGAUUGUACAAACACACAAGCGGCAGCAAAGCUGGUUAACAUCCCACUCUGCCAAUCACAACCGGAGGAAAGGUUUGUGGCUGCAGAGUGUCUGAGUAGAGGCCUCGAUACUACUACUGUGAAGCACGUUACGGAGAGAACUGAGUCUUCAGCUCAAGUACUCCCAGAGACUGCACUUAAGAGCCAAGCCCAGGGGGGACCUGAGAAGGAUAUAGCAUUACAAAAUAAAAACCAGCCAUCCUCUGAUGAGGAACAAGUUUCUUCUAUCUUUGACCUAGGCUCUAAUCCUAACUCUGGUGAGAGUGCAGGCCUAAAGCCACAUGCACCGCCACUCUCUGAGACGCUGGAGGACACUACAAACAGAACUUUCAACAAAGAGGCUGCAGAGGAGGUUCGACUAGACCCAGGGGAGGUUAGACUGGACCCAGAGGGAGAGGUUGGAGAAGACAAGAUUACAUUUUGUUUUGCAGAGAUGAAGCCUCAAACCGAUCUGGCUGAGAACUGCCUCCUCUCCAAAGACAACCUAUCUAUCCUGCCUGCUGUGGAAGAACCAACCUGUGAGUCAAGUCUACAGGAUGACACCUGUCUGGAUUCCCCCAUCAACCUCCUUACCAGUCAGGUGUCCCCCUCAAGGCAGCCUUUGGGCAUUCUGAUAUCACCUCAGAAGAAAGACCAGUCUGAGGAGUGUGAACUUAGCAGGAGUAACACAGAGGAAAUUAACCAGCUGGCGUCAAGUCUGAUUACUGACGUGGUCUCAGUAGCAGUGAGUCAAGUCCUGAAGGAUAGGACCCUACUAGAACAUAAUGUUGGGCCUCUCUGUAACAGGGACCCCUUCACAUCCCCAGAUAUCAUCUCAGUGGGUAACAGUGAGACUGGGAGAGAGAUGCCUGGUCUAUUGCAGGAGGAUCAGUGUUCAAUAACUGGCAGGGAGAACAUAUGUUCAUCUCCUAUAGUCUUUGAGGAUGUGAAACAUGACUGCAGCAGUAGAACUGAGACUGAGCAGGCAGAACUAGCAGAAGAUUCUGCAGUAGGUGAUUCUGGCUCCAGCUUAGGUCAUUCUGAGGAGAGCUCCAGUGGCGAGGACUCUAGCCCCAGUGUGAGCCUGCAACCACCCAGGGGACCCGCUGAAGGACUGGGGGCCCCCAGCAUGGCCCUCCCUAAUGGUCACAGGACAGAGGUGGCUGUUCCAGGCUCUGGUGUGACCAGCAUGGACUCUGUAGACCGUUACGUUGAACACGAAGCCAGGGACAACCAGCAUAUCAACAGUCCAAGUCCGCUAAGUCAACUGCUGAACAGCGAUCAGCAAAUUGAAAAAUACAUCCAGAGUUACAACAGCAGCCAGCCACCGACUGUUUGGGACAUAGAGGUGCCAAAGCAUCUUGUUGGGAGAUUGAUUGGGAAGCAGGGGCGGUAUGUGAGCUACCUGAAGGAGACAUCCGGAGCAAACAUCUUCAUCGCCACCCUGCCUUACACCCAGGAGUUACAGAUCUGCCAUAUAGAGGGGUCAAAGGAGCAGGUGGAUUGUGCUCUGGAGCUGAUCAGUAAGAAGUUCAAAGAUCUGGAUGUGACCAGCUGUUAUGUCCAUCCUCCAGUGGCCAGACUGCCCUCUCUCCCCAUCACAUCCUGGCUGCUGCUUCCCCAUAGGGUGACAGUUGAGGUAACCGUGAUCCAAGUAGCCUCUGGGAACUAUGUGUUCCUCCAGCAGCACACACACCCAACCUUCUAUGCUCUCCGCAGCCUGGACCAACAGAUGAGCUUGUGUUAUUCUCAGCCAGGGUGCCCUCCCCUGCCGGCCCCAGUGGAAGGUAGGCAUGCACAGCCAGGGUGCCGGCCCCAGUGGAAGGUAGGCAUGCACAGCCAGGGUGCCGGCCCCAGUGGAAGGUAGGCAUGCACAGCCAGGGUGCCGGCCCCAGUGGAAGGUAGGCAUGCACAGCCAGGGUGCCGGCCCCAGUGGAAGGUAGGCAUGCACAGCCAGGGUGCCGGCCCCAGUGGAAGGUAGGCAUGCACAGCCAGGGUGCCGGCCCCAGUGGAAGGUAGGCAUGCACAGCCAGGGUGCCGGCCCCAGUGGAAGGUAGGCAUGCACAGCCAGGGUGCCCUCCCCUGCCGGCCCCAGUGGAAGUGGGAGUGAUCUGUGCUGCCCAGAUGCCUGAGGGAGCCUGGUGGAGAGCGCAGGUGAUGGGUUACUAUGAAGAAACCAAGGAGGUGGAGCUCUGCUAUGUGGACUAUGGAGGCUAUGUCCUGGUGAAGAUCGACACCCUCCGCCAGAUCAGAUCAGACUUUGUUGCCUUGCCUUUCCAAGGAUCUGAGGCGAUCCUGGAACAUAUUGCACCCCUUCCAGGAGAAGAAGGGUUCUCUGUUGCAGCCAAAUCUGCACUGGAGGAAAUGACACAAGGAUUGCCACUACUUGCACAGGUCACAAGCUGUCACACCAGUGGCAUUCCCUUGGUACAGAUAUGGAAAACUGAAGGAGAAGAGUUGGUGUCUGUGAACCGUGCUCUGGUGGAUAACGGACUGUGUAGCUGGGUAGACUGCCUCUGACUGUGAAGACAAAUCCUGUCCCUGUUUGGAUAGUUUUCAAAUGUAUCCUCCCUUUUUAAGCACAGAUCUAUAAAGGGAUUGGAUAUGUGUGAGUAAGGUUACCAGCCCUAUUACCCUCACCAAUCUACCAAAUUUUGAUCUGUGAUUACUUCAAGGAAAGUAGGAAGGAAAAUUGGAUCUCUGAAGUAUUCAAACAUGGCCCCUGCCUUGCCUUUCAUCGUUCCAUCCCCUCAGUCCCAUCCUCUGGACUGUUGCCCUGUUGGGGCACAACAAUGUCUUCCUUCUCAACUCGACUGUUCAUGCUUGUUGUUUCUUUAUCACCAUGUACACUUUCUGAUGUAUUUAUUUGGUGAAGUUUUAUUUACAGCCCCCCACCCUUAUAUAAAUGUUUGUUAAUUAUGCUUACAUGAUUUUUGACCAAGAUGAAUCGUGAAUAAUAUAAUUACCGUUUUGUUUUCAAUGGAUACAAUCCUAUUAAGAAACAAAAUAAAGAUGAACUGUCCUUUCUGAGGUGUCCACUUUGACCAGAGCCAGACUUAUGUUGUGAGAUGUACAGUAUAAUGAAGCUACAGUCUGUAUUGACUUCAAUCACAUCUCAUUAAAUGAAUGCAUGUUGUGUA